RNAcentral lists this ribosomal RNA (777 nucleotides) under uncultured bacterium. RNAcentral's name for it is "bacterial SSU rRNA". It matches the Rfam family "Bacterial small subunit ribosomal RNA", at positions 8 to 774 of the family's 1533-position model. The record is from RNAcentral.
AGAGUUUGAUCAUGGCUCAGAGUGAACGCUGGCGGUAGGCCUAACACAUGCAAGUCGAACGGCAGCACAGGAGAGCUUGCUCUCUGGGUGGCGAGUGGCGGACGGGUGAGGAAUACAUCGGAAUUUACUUUUUCGUGGGGGAUAACGUAGGGAAACUUACGCUAAUACCGCAUACGACCUACGGGUGAAAGCAGGGGAUCUUCGGACCUUGCGCGAUUGAAUGAGCCGAUGUCGGAUUAGCUAGUUGGCGGGGUAAAGGCCCACCAAGGCGACGAUCCGUAGCUGGUCUGAGAGGAUGGUCAGCCACACUGGAACUGAGACACGGUCCAGACCCCUACGGGAGGCAGCAGUGGGGAAUAUUGGACAAUGGGCGCAAGCCUGAUCCAGCCAUACCGCGUGGGUGAAGAAGGCCUUCGGGUUGUAAAGCCCUUUUGUUGGGAAAGAAAUCCAGCUGGUUAAUACCCGGUUGGGAUGACGGUACCCAAAGAAUAAGCACCGGCUAACUUCGUGCCAGCAGCCGCGGUAAUACAAAGGGUGCAAGCGUUACUCGGAACUACUGGGCGUAAAGCGUGCGUAGGUGGUCGUUUAAGUCCGUUGUGAAAGCCCUGGGCUCAACCUGGGAACUGCAGUGGAUACUGGGCGACUAGAAUGUGGUAGAGGGUAGCGGAAUUCCUGGUGUAGCAGUGAAAUGCGUAGAGAUCAGGAGGAACAUCCAUGGCGAAGGCAGCUACCUGGACCAACAUUGACACUGAGGCACGAAAGCGUGGGGAGCAAACC